Molecule: long non-coding RNA, 931 nt
Organism: Armigeres subalbatus
Lineage: Eukaryota; Metazoa; Arthropoda; Insecta; Diptera; Culicidae
Exons: 4
Source: RefSeq, a predicted model, not a curated record
AGUAGUUUGAGCGCCGGCAAAAGAUUCUUAGCCGAUGAGGCGUCCGUAGGUAGGGCAGGGGUAUAGUACUCACGUUUGUGCACUUACACUUUUACGACAGGCUCGGGUCUAGUCGUAUUUCUUAUGGGAAAUUUUGGAAUCGCUAGCUCAGCUUUUAGCUCUGUCCAACUUCUUCUGUUCUGGAUACUCAAGCGAGUAGCAAGUGCGCGUCGUGAAACGUUAAAUAAAAGUCUAGAACAGGAGAUAUUAAAAUAUCAGUAGCGUGAAACCUUGAUUAUUUCUAGUGGGUGCAGUUGUAUCAAAAUACCCAAACUCCAAGCUGCGCUACUGGAUUAAAUUAUAAAAGAAGAAAAAGGUCCACACAGGGCCUUUUUCUUUCUGCCUAAACCUCUAGCGUCUGGCAACCGCCGCCAUUGUGAUUUUGUGGAACCGAUCCAACGAGCCGGUGACCGCGUGUGUCUCGGGACAAAUCUGAGACCCCACCCAGCCAUCCGUCGGCAACCACUCUGUAGCUCAGGGACCCAGCAACGAAUUGCUCUCGCGGUGCGUGACCGCAAGCGAGACUCUCCUUAACUCCAGCAGUUCUUCAUCUCCAUUGAGCCUGGGUUGCCAGUGAGGAUUAAAAUCCAGGACUUACGAUCCGCCGAAAUGGUCGUGACUCCAAGGGCCGCAGUAAAGUAGUGUCCACCACGCCAAAUGCCCCAACAUCAGACCUAAGAAAUAACCGCAAGUACUAAUGUGACGUCACUAGUUUUAAGUUAAUGGCCAAAACAAAUAACUCAAAACAAUUAUGUAAAACACAAAAAUUAGCAUGCAAAAUAAUUAUGUAGUUUAAAAGCAUUUCGGAGAGUUCUUGAUUUCACUAGUAAAUUUCAUUUCGUUAAUACCGUACCCAGUACUGAGGGUGUUCAGGCCUCUCUCACUUCCGUAA